CCCUUAGAUGUUCUGGGCCGCACACGCGCUACACUGAAGGAGGCAGCGUGUACUCCUGGAUCGAAAGAUUUGGGUAACCCGCGAAUCUCCUUCGUGCUAGGGAUUGAGGUUUGCAAUUAUCCUUCAUGAACGAGGAAUUCCCAGUAAGUGCAAGUCAUAAGCUUGCGCUGACUACGUCCCUGCCCUUUGUACACACCGCCCGUCGCUCCUACCGAUUGGAUGGUCCGGUGAACUGGUCGGACUGCUGUUUGAAAUUGCGGGUGCAGUUGAUUCACGGGAAGUCUAGUAAACCUUAUCAUCUAGAGGAAGGAGAAGUCGUAACA
This 323-nucleotide ribosomal RNA is filed under the name uncultured eukaryote. RNAcentral's name for it is "partial 18S ribosomal RNA". It matches the Rfam family "Eukaryotic small subunit ribosomal RNA", at positions 1470 to 1796 of the family's 1831-position model. The record is from RNAcentral.